AGCAGUUGGAAGCCGCUGCUGUCCGUGGUGAUAAUGGGACAAAUGUCGGUGGAGAAAUAACCCGGCUUAAUCCCCCAGCCGGCGAUCUUCCAACUCCGGUGUGUAAUCAUUUGUGCCCUUUUCUUUGGCCGUUGUCAACAUAUCUGGCUUAUGUGAGUCAGAAUUAUGUGACGAUCGCUGCGGCGGCGAACGGCAAAAGGUUUUCGAGCCUGAGGUUCCAGAACUGUGGCAUCUGCAUCUCUUUUUUAGCCACAUGUUGUUGCAGCUUUAAUAAAGACAUCAGCCGCGCAUAAUUAUGGAUUUGUACUACACUGACAAAGAAAAUGUUGAGCGAUCUUAUGACUCCUUUUUCUUUGACCUCACAAAUGCCAUUCGUUCUGCUUCGUUUUUCAACUCGGAGCUGUCUUUCUGGCCGUAAGUCGUAGAUUGGCAUUAUUGUCAUGGCCAACAACGCGGCAAUCUUCUCUUGGCCAUAUCUUAAUUCUAUUGGCCCGGCUGGGCAUUCCCUUACUCUUUUUUUUUUGUAGCACAU
Molecule: non-coding RNA, 532 nt
Organism: Drosophila melanogaster (fruit fly)
Lineage: Eukaryota; Metazoa; Arthropoda; Insecta; Diptera; Drosophilidae
Source: Ensembl